CUCAACAAAAUGGAGUGGCAGAGCGGAUGAACAGGACUCUGUUAGAAAGAACAAGAGCAAUGUUGGGAGCUGCAAGCUUAGAGAAGAAAUUCUGGGCAGAAGCAGUCAACACCGCCUGUUAUGUGAUAAAUCGGUCGCCAUCAACUGCAAUUGAGUUGAAAACACCGAUGGAGAUGUGGACAGGAAAGCCCGUCGACUAUUCAGACCUCCAUAUAUUUGGGAGUCCAGUGUAUGUAAUGUACAAUAACCAAGAAACUACAAAGCUAGUUCCAAAGUCUAGAAAGUGUGUGUUCUUGGGAUAUGCUGAUGGAGUAAAGGGGUAUUGCAUGUGGGAUCCCACUGCCCACAAGGGGUACCUCCAUUAUCUGUCCUCAAACACUUGAUCUUCUUCUCAGAUUCAAGUUCCACCCUUGUAAGUCAAAUAACACGUUUUUCAUAAUGGACGGUGAUGGACGGUGAAGUUGGACGGUGAAGGAGGUGAUUUUGUCAAUAAUUAUGGCUUUCACAUGUCCAAACUUCUUCUAUAAAAGGAGAGCUAAGCUGAAGAGGAAAUUCAUCCCAAAAUCAAAAUCACAGAGAGAAGUGAGGAAGAAGAAGAACGUGAGAGAGAGAGAGAGAGAGAGAGAGAGAGAGAGAAAAAAAACUUUAUUUUUCUUACGGGUAUUUGGGAUCGGGUUGAGAGAAAAUUAUUUAGAGAGUUUGGGAAUUUUCUCCUAUUAUAACGAGAAAAUUAUUAAUCGAUUUCUCCGUUAUAAUUGAGAGGUUGUAACUCCUAUUAUUUUUCUCGUAAUAAAUUCUUCUACCUUGUCUGUGGUUUUUACCCUUUGGGGUUUUCCACGUUAAAUCUGGUGUUCCAUUUAUUACACUAUUUCUCAAAUUAUUAGCUGCGACCCUGCUCUAUCCGGUCCAGUUUUACAACAAGUGGUAUCAGAGCAUAGGUUCUGGAAGAAGCAAUGGCGGCAAAAUUUGAGAUCGAAAAAUUCAACGGCAGUAACUUUGCGCUGUGGAAGUUGAAGAUGAAGGCUAUCUUGAGAAAAGAUGGUUGUUUAGCGGCCAUUAGUGCAAGACCGGCUACAUACACAGAUGAUGAUAAAUGGAACGAGAUGGAUGGGAAUGCUAUGGCAAAUCUUCAUCUUGCCCUUGCAGAUGGAGUGUUGUCAAGCAUAGAGGAGAAGAAGACUGCAAAGGAGAUAUGGGAUCACCUUGCAAAAUUGUACGAGGCCAAAUCGCUGCACAAUAAAAUUUUCCUCAAGAGGAAGCUUUAUACCCUUCGAAUGGGAGAAUCUACUUCAGUGACGGAGCACAUCAACACCUUGAAUACUUUAUUUUCUCAACUCACUUCGUUGAGUUAUAAAGUAGAAUCACAAGAACGUGCUGAGCUUCUACUUCAAAGUCUACCAGAUUCAUAUGAUCAACUCAUCAUCAACUUAACAAAUAAUGUCUCCACCGACAGUCUAGUCUUUGACGAUGUUGCAGCUGCGGUUCUAGAAGAAGAAAGUCGGCGCAAAAGUAAGGAAGACAGACGAGAAAAUUCUCAAAUAGAGGCAUUGACGGUGAUGAGAGGGAGAUCAAUGGAACAUGGCUCAAGUGGGAGUCACAAACAUGGUAGAUCAAAGUCAAGAAGUAAGAAGACUUUUAAAUGCUACCACUGUGGCAAGAAGGGUCACUUGAAGAAGGAUUGUUGGGAAUUGAAGAAUUCCAACCCUCAAGGAAAUGUCGCAAACACUUCAGAUAAUGGAAUUAAAUUCUACGCUUCUAAGUUUGUGUCUAUUGUACUGGUCUAGUAAUUACGUUGUUAGUUUCUUGUGCGAGGAUUAGGAAUAAGAAUGCUCAUGUCCCAAGAUGCCUUGUACUUUAAGAAUAUCGAUGUUUAUUUUCUAACCUGGAUAUUUUAUUGGUAGGUACCCUCGUUCUUCAUUCGCAAACUUGUGACUCAGGUUUUCUCAUUUAUCAACUUAUCACUUUUCAACAGGUACAUGUGGUCUUAAUUUCAAUUCUUUGCUUCAUUGCUUACCUCAGUUUACAUUUGUUUUCUGCAUAUUUAAUCUGAAUUCCUUUUCAGUCUUCUCCUUCGACGUGAAUGUUGCACAUUUUCAAAUGGAGAAUAUGUGAAAUCUGGGAUUGCAGAAUUGGAGAAGUGGAUAGCCAGUGUCAAGGAAGAGGUACACCAUGCUUUACACUCGUUAUUAUUUUUCAUAGACGGAUGCUUUCUGUGAUCUAAAGUUUUGUGAAUGCAGUUUGCAGGAACUUCUUGGCACGAGUUAAAUUACAUUAGACAAGCUGUUGGAUUCUUGGUAAAAACUCAUUCCUUCUUUUCUGAUAGAAAGCUAGUUUCGUUUGUAAUUGAGCUUGCAUUAAUUAAGUUGUAUUUUGUGCAACUUUUUGAUUGCGUCAUAGGUUAUACACCAGAAGCGAAAAAAAUCACUGGAAGAAAUCAGGCAGGACCUAUGCCCGGUACGUCAUUUUUGUUUGGCUUCCGUUUUCUUAUCUUUGAAUCCUGGCCGUAAGCACUUUCGAAAUCUCACUAAACGUCGGCACUAUUUUGUUCUCUUAUAGGCAUUGACUAUAAGGCAAAUAUAUCGAAUAAGUACGAUGUACUGGGAUGAUAAAUAUGGAACUCAGAGUGUCUCAAGUGAGGUGAGUUAAUGUCUAAAGCUCUUUAAUCAUGGGCUUUGGUUGAAAUGUCUAUUUAAACACUUUUACACAAUGUAUCUUUGUGUUGUAGGUGGUUUCUCAAAUGAGGGUACUUGUUGACAAGGAUAGCCAAAAACUAACAUCCAAUUCCUUCUUGCUGGAUGAUGAUAUGAGGUACUAUUCUCUACCGUUUUAGUCUGUAUAACUAAAUGAAAUAUUUCAAAAGUAAGUCAGCUCUCAAGUUUAGUUAUACGUGGGUAGUACAAUAUGGUAGUAACAACACAAACGUUUAUAUCUCUAGCUCGGCCAGGGUUUACAUGUUGCGGGUUAUGCAUGUGAAAAUCUUAGGAUCUAUAUAGAUUGAAUAACGCAUUUCUAAGGUUUGGUUUGGGUAUUUGGCUGAGAGUCGACGGUUAAUCAAGUUUCUCUCGCAUAACUCAGACGUUAUUAAAGUUGUCUACAUUAUAUAGAUUAAUGUAUCGUUGUGUGUGUGUAUGUGUGUGUGCACUGUGCAGCAUUCCUUUCUCUGCAGAAGAUAUAGAUAAGGCUAUUCCAGUUUUAGACCCAUCAGAAAUAGAACCACCGAAGUUUGUAUCAGAAUAUACUUGUGCACAGUCCCUUGUGAAGAACGCCUCUGCAGCUACAGCCUCACAGUAGAUCAUUUGAUGCAUAUGAGCUUGAUUAUGCAUCAAAUGCAAGUUAGAAAAAAAAUCAUUUGGUAUAAAACAAUGGAAGCUUAGACUUGGUAACUGUAGAAUUUUACUAUACGUUGAAGGCAAAAUAUUUGUAAUUGUGUAAUUGUCAGUUUUUAACGUUUUUUUUUUUUCAUUUUCGGGGACUGUAAGUGGUACAACAUCUUUGUGAAUAUUAAGUAAUGGAUUCUCAUAAUUUUUUGAAUUUAUUAUGGAUGUUAUCAUUGUUCAUUAAACAUCAGAGUUUUUCUUUGAGAGGAUUUUUUUGACAAAGAUUUUCUUUGAGAGUUACGUGCCAACAACCAUGUUGAUGAUAUCAAUGCGAGCAUUCCCGCCCCGUGACUAUUUUAUUAACAUGGACAAAAGUGCUCGACUUUUGUGAAAGUGAUUUUGUAGUUUUGGUACACCACCAAGUUUUAUUGGUGACCAAAUCACAAUCUAUUCUUUUGUAAUAACCAAUUGUAACUUACAUUUUAUUUAAACUACUGGAGUAAUAUACUUUAAAAAUUUCUAAUAUAUAUUACACUUUUACUGUUAAACAAGCUUAAGAAUCAUUUAGCAAAUGUAUAAUCACAGUAAUUGUGAUCCUUUGAGAAAUCUCGAAGGAUAUUAAUGUUUCCAGUUUUGUCUUACACAAAUAAUAAGAAUAACAUGAAAAAAUGAGAAAGCAUGGCAAGUAACGUAGUAAUACUAAAGUGGAUCAAUAAUACUUCACAUGUUUACUAGUAAACAAGCUUAAGAACCAUGUGGUGGAACUUGAAUCUGAGAAGUUUAUUUGACUUUCAGUUUUCAAAGUUUUCAAAGCACGGGUGGAACUUGAAUUUGAGAAGAAGAUCAAGUGUUUGAGGACAGAUAAUGGAGGUGAAUACACUGGUGAUGUAUUUAGCCAAUUCUGUAAAGUAGAGGGCAUCAAAAGGUAGUUCACUACAUCAUACACUCCUCAACAAAAUGGAGUGGCAGAGCGGAUGAACAGGACUCUGUUAGAAAGAACAAGAGCAAUGUUGGGAGCUGCAAGCUUAGAGAAGAAAUUCUGGGCAGAAGCAGUCAACACCGCCUGUUAUGUGAUAAAUCGGUCGCCAUCAACUGCAAUUAAGCUGAAAACACCGAUGGAGAUGUGGACAGGAAAGCCCGUCGACUAUUCAGACCUCCAUAUAUUUGGGAGUCCAGUGUAUGUAAUGUACAAUAACCAAGAAACUACAAAGCUAGUUCCAAAGUCUAGAAAGUGUGUGUUCUUGGGAUAUGCUGAUGGAGUAAAGGGGUAUUGCAUGUGGGAUCCCACUGCCCACAAGGGGUACCUCCAUUAUCUGUCCUCAAACACUUGAUCUUCUUCUCAGAUUCAAGUUCCACCCGUGUAAGUCAAAUAACACGUUUUUCAUAAUGGACGGUGAUGGACGGUGAAGUUGGACGGUGAAGGAGGUGAUUUUGUCAAUAAUUAUGGCUUUCACAUGUCCAAACUUCUUCUAUAAAAGGAGAGCUAAGCUGAAGAGGAAAUUCAUCCCAAAAUCAAAAUCACAAAGAGAAGUGAAGAAGAAGAAGAACGUGUGAGAGAGAAAAGAAAAAAAAAAUUCUAUAAUCUCUUACGGGUAUUUGGGAUCGGGUUGAGAGAAAAUUAUUUAGAGAGUUUGGGUAUUUUCUCCUAUGAGAAAAUUAUUAAUCGAUUUGUCCGUUAUAAUUGAGAGGUUGUAACUCCUAUUAUUUUUCUCGUAAUAAAUUCUUCUACCUUGUCCGUGGUUUUUACCCUUUGGAGUUUUCCACGUUAAAUAUGGUGUUCCAUUUAUUACACUAUUUCUCAAAUUAUUAGCUGCGACCCUGCUCUAUUCGGUCCAGUUUUACAACAAGUGGUAUCAGAGCAUAGGUUCUGGAAGAAGCAAUGGCGGCAAAAUUUGAGAUCGGAAAAUUCAACGGCAGUAACUUUGCGCUGUGGAAGUUGAAGAUGAAGGCUAUCUUGAGAAAAGAUGGUUGUUUAGCGGUCAUUAGUGCAAGACCGGCUACAUACACAUAUGAUGAUAAAUGGAACGAGAUGGAUGGGAAUGCUAUGGCAAAUCUUCAUCUUGCCCUUGCAGAUGGAGUGUUGUCAAGCAUAGAGGAGAAGAAGACUGCAAAGGAGAUAUGGGAUCACCUUGCAAAAUUAUACGAGGCCAAAUCGCUGCACAAUAAAAUUUUCUUCAAGAGGAAGCUUUAUACCCUUCGAAUGGGAGAAUCUACUUCAGUGACGGAGCACAUCAACACCUUGAAUACUUUAUUUUCUCAACUCACUUCGUUGAGUUAUAAAGUAGAAUCACAAGAACGUGCUGAGCUUCUACUUCAAAGUCUACCAGAUUCAUAUGAUCAACUCAUCAUCAACUUAACAAAUAAUGUCUCCACUGACAGUCUAGUCUUUGACGAUGUUGCAGCUGCGGUUCUAGAAGAAGAAAGUCGGCGCAAAAGUAAGGAAGACAGACGAGAAAAUUCUCAAAUAGAGGCAUUGACGGUGAUGAGAGGGAGAUCAAUGGAACAUGGCUCAAGUGGGAGUCACAAACAUGGUAGAUCAAAGUCAAGAAGUAAGAAGACUUUUAAAUGCUACCACUGUGGCAAGAAGGGUCACUUGAAGAAGGAUUGUUGGGAAUUGAAGAAUUCCAACCCUCAAGGAAAUGUCGCAAACACUUCAGAUAAUGGAAUCGCGCUAUGUUGUGAAGCAGCAAUUUCAAGCGAAAAUAGAAGAAGGUUCGCUGAUAUAUGGUUGUUCGACUCAGGAGCUACAUAUCACAUGACCUCUAGAAGAGAAUGGUUCCAUCAUUAUGAACCCAUCUCAGGAGGAUCUGUGUACAGUUGCAAUGAUCAUGAACUUAAGAUUGUUGGCACUGGAUCCAUUCAACUGAAGAUGUAUGAUGGUACAGUUUGUACUAUUCAUGAGGUGCGACACGUGGAAGGCCUGAAAAAGAAUUUACUAUCUGUGGGGCAACUUGAUGAUCUUGGUUGCAAAGUUGAAGUUCAAAAUGGUACUCUAAAAGUAAUUAGAGGAGCACUUGUGCUUAUGAAAGGAGAGAAGAUAGCUGCGAAGUUAUACAUGUUAAGAGGAGAAACUCUGUCAGAAUCAGAAGCAUCUGUUGCUUCAAGCAGUUCCAGUGAGAAAGCUACUACGGUGUGGCAUCAGAAACUUGGGCAUAUGUCUGAACAAGGCAUGAAAAUUCUUGCAGAGAAGAAGUUACUUCCGGGUCUCACAAAGGUAUCACUAUCCUUUUGUGAGCAUUGUGUGACAAGCAAGCAGCAUCGGUUGAAGUUUAGCACGUCAAAUUCUAGAAGUAAAGUUAUUCUAGAAUUGGUUCACUCUGAUGUGUGGCAAGCACCAGUUAUAUCACUAGGAGGAGCGAAGUACUUUGUGUCCUUCAUCGAUGACUACUCCAGGAGAUGUUGGGUGUAUCCUAUCAAGAGUAAGGCAGAUGUGUUUUCAGUUUUCAAAGUUUUCAAAGCACGGGUGGAACUUGAAUCUGAGAAGAAGAUCAAGUGUUUGAGGACAGAUAAUGGAGGUGAAUACACUGGUGAUGUAUUUAGCCAAUUCUGUAAAGUAGAGGGCAUCAAAAGGCAGUUCACUACAUCAUACACUCCUCAACAAAAUGGAGUGGCAGAGCGGAUGAACAGGACUCUGUUAGAAAGAACAAGAGCAAUGUUGGGAGCUGCAAGCUUAGAGAAGAAAUUCUGGGCAGAAGCAGUCAACACCGCCUGUUAUGUGAUAAAUCGGUCGCCAUCAACUGCAAUUGAGCUGAAAACACCGAUGGAGAUGUGGACAGGAAAGCCCGUCGACUAUUCAGACCUCCAUAUAUUUGGGAGUCCAGUGUAUGUAAUGUACAAUAACCAAGAAACUACAAAGCUAGAUCCAAAGUCUAGAAAGUGUGUGUUCUUGGGAUAUGCUGAUGGAGUAAAGGGGUAUCGCCUGUGGGAUCCCACUGCCCACAAGGUUAUAAUCAGCAGAGAUGUUAUCUUCACAUAAGAUAAGAAGAUCGAAGAAGGAAGAAGCAGUUCAAAAGAAAGGUCAGAGACUGUAGCAGUACAAGUGGAAAAGGAGAAUUCUUCUGGAGCAACACCAGAACACGAGGAAGCCGAACCUGCCGAGUUGGAAGAAGAACUUGGUAAAGGAAAACGUGUAAGAACUACACCAGCUUGGCACGAGGAUUAUGAUCUGAGCUGCAAUGUUGCAUAUUGUCUUUUAACUGAGGACGGAGAGCCAUCAAAUCUCCAAGAAGCAAUGAGCAGUCCAGAUGUUUCUCAGUGGAUGGAAGCAAUGCAAGAAGAAAUUGAAGCUCUACAUAAAAAUAAAACUUGGGAGCUCGUACCAUUACCGCAAGGAAGAAAAGCCAUUGGAAACAAAUGGGUCUAUAAGAUCAAGCGAAAUGGUGAUGACCAAGUGGAGCGGUAUCGUGCUAGAUUGGUGGUGAAAGGAUAUGCUCAGAAAGAAGGCAUUGACUUCAAUGAAAUUUUUUCACCUGUGGUUCGACUUACAACAGUUCGGAUACUGUUGGCAAUGUGUGCUACAUUUGACUUACAUCUAGAGCAACUAGAUGUGAAAACAGCGUUUCUUCAUGGAGAUCUCGAGGAAGAAAUUUAUAUGCUCCAACCAGAAGGUUUUGAAGAAAAAGAAAAGGAGAACUUGGUUUGCAGGUUAAACAAAUCUCUGUACGGUCUAAAGCAGGCGCCAAGAUGCUGGUACAAUAGAUUUGAUUCCUUCAUUAUGAGCCUUGGAUACAUCAGACUUCAUGCAGACCCUUGUGCGUAUUUCAAGAGGUUUGGAGAAGGAGAGUUCAUUACUCUGUUGCUGUAUGUAGACGACAUGUUGAUAGCAGGCCCCAACAAUGAUCGUAUCAAAGAAUUGAAGGCACAGUUGGCUAGGGAGUUCGAGAUGAAGGACUUGGGACCAGCAAACAAGAUUCUAGGGAUGCAAAUUCACCGAGACAGAAAUAAUAGGAAGAUUUGGCUGUCACAGAAGAAUUAUUUGAAGAAAAUCUUGCGGAGGUUCAACAUGCAAGAUUGUAAGCCAAUCUCUACCCCACUUCCUAUUAAUUUCAAGUUAUCCUCCGGUAUGAGUCCUAGCAGUGAAGAAGGAAGGAUGGAAAUGUCUCGAGUACCGUAUGCAUCAGCAGUGGGGAG
This 8447-nucleotide long non-coding RNA is filed under the name Brassica napus (rape). Its description in RNAcentral is "long non-coding RNA (BNAP_LNC009176)". Lineage: Eukaryota; Viridiplantae; Streptophyta; Magnoliopsida; Brassicales; Brassicaceae. The record is from RNAcentral.